AGUGAACGCUGGCGGUAGGCCUAACACAUGCAAGUCGAACGGCAGCACAGUAAGAGCUUGCUCUUACGGGUGGCGAGUGGCGGACGGGUGAGGAAUACAUCGGAAUCUACUUUUUCGUGGGGGAUAACGUAGGGAAACUUACGCUACUACCGCAUACGACCUACGGGUGAAAGCAGGGGAUCUUCGGACCUUGCGCGAUUGAAUGAGCCGAUGUCGGAUUAGCUAGUUGGCGGGGUAAAGGCCCACCAAGACGACGAUCCGUAGCUGGUCUGAGAGGAUGAUCAGCCACACUGGAACUGAGACACGGUCCAGACUCCUACGGGAGGCAGCAGUGGGGAAUAUUGGACAAUGGGCGCAAGCCUGAUCCAGCCAUACCGCGUGGGUGAAGAAGGCCUUCGGGUUGUAAAGCCCUUUUGUUGGGAAAGAAAAGCAGCAGGUUAAUACCCCGCUGUUCUGACGGUACCCAAAGAAUAAGCACCGGCUAACUUCGUG
This 492-nucleotide ribosomal RNA is filed under the name uncultured bacterium. RNAcentral's name for it is "partial 16S ribosomal RNA". It matches the Rfam family "Bacterial small subunit ribosomal RNA", at positions 29 to 507 of the family's 1533-position model. The record is from RNAcentral.